AGCAGCCGCGGUAAUUCCAGCUCCAAUAGCGUAUAUUAAAGUUGUUGCAGUUAAAAAGCUCGUAGUUGAAUUUCGGGAUUGACACAUCGGUCGUGCCUUAAGGGGUAUGAACUGGUGUAGUCAAUUUCUCACCUUCUGGAGAACCGCGAUGCCCUUAAUUGGGUGUCGCGGGGAACCAGGACCUUUACUUUGAAAAAAUUAGAGUGUUUAAAGCAGGCAUUUUGCUUGAAUACAUUAGCAUGGAAUAAUAAAAUAGGACGGCAUGAUUCUAUUUUGUUGGUUUCUAGGAUCACCGUAAUGAUUAAUAGGGAUAGUUGGGGGCAUUAGUAUUCAAUUGUCAGAGGUGAAAUUCUUGGAUUUAUUGAAGACUAACUACUGCGAAAGCAUUUGCCAAGGAUGUUUUCAUUAAUCAAGAACGAAAGUUAGGGGAUCGAAGACGAUCAGAUACCGUCGUAGUCUUAACCAUAAACUAUGCCGACUAGGGAUCGGAUGAUGUUAAUUUUUAAUGUACUC
Molecule: ribosomal RNA, 513 nt
Filed under: uncultured Entrophospora
Lineage: Eukaryota; Fungi; Glomeromycota; Glomeromycetes; Entrophosporales; Entrophosporaceae
Description: SSU rRNA
Rfam family: Eukaryotic small subunit ribosomal RNA
Source: RNAcentral